UACGGGGGGGGCAAGCGUUGUUCGGAAUUACUGGGCGUAAAGGGCUCGUAGGCGGCCAACUAAGUCGGACGUGAAAUCCCUCGGCUUAACCGGGGAACUGCGUCCGAUACUGGAUGGCUUGAGGUUGGGAGAGGGAUGCGGAAUUCCAGGUGUAGCGGUGAAAUGCGUAGAUAUCUGGAGGAACACCGGCGGCGAAGGCGGCAUCCUGGACCAAUUCUGACGCUGAGGAGCGAAAGCCAGGGGAGCAAACGGG
This 253-nucleotide ribosomal RNA is filed under the name uncultured bacterium. RNAcentral describes it as "partial 16S ribosomal RNA". It matches the Rfam family "Bacterial small subunit ribosomal RNA", at positions 524 to 776 of the family's 1533-position model. The record is from RNAcentral.